UUCUUCCCCGUCGAAUCGCCAGGGGAAGAACCGAGAGAAAACAAGGGUCAGAUGGGAGCAGAGCACGGUGGUCGAGAUCGAUAAAAGAGAAAGAAAAGCUUUUCUAUAUUCUUCUUUUUUACUUUCUUUGCUGUUUGUUUCUCCGAUCGAUCCCUCCUUGUCGUGGUCUCCUUCUUGUUUCUUCUUCUUCUUCUUCUCUUUUGUUCUUUGGCUCCCCGGUGGUGGGACUGACGUAACGGCGGAGUAGAAGGAGAGAUGAGAGCGGUGAGCGGCGUUGGACGAUUCGUGGCUCGCCAAAUGCGUGGGCAGCGCCGCCGCCGUCGCAACCAUCGCAGGCCCCUGCGCCCGCAUCGGAGGGUCAGCAAUCAGGAUCACAGUCAAUUAACCCUGGUGAGACUAUCUGGAGACUGGAACGAGUAUAUCACAUUGGUGCAAGCAAUGCUAAGGGGUAACUGUCAUGUCCUUUGAAAAUAUUUUAUUAAAGAAAAAAUCAAAGACAGGCCAGGUACUUUUAACUUGUAAUUGGAGAAUUAGUUGUUGUUUUCAAAAUUUUCUUUUUUGGAAUUUUGGGUGAAUCUUUCAUUCAUUUUACAUUUUUACGUAAACAUAUUCUGCAAUUUGCUUCUAACUAGAAUUCUAUCAUUAUGUUUUACUGCAUAAUAGAUGUCCUAACUUCCAUUCUUUCUAUUUCUGAUUUAUGCUUGCAUUUUCUUCCAUGCAAGUACUGCAUAAUCUGAGGCAACAGUUUCAACAAAUGUUCUUGGAGUCAGGUUUAGAACCAAAUUAGUUUUAGACUUACAAUCAGUUUCUCUUGAUAAAGCAAAGCCUGUGCAUUAUAUGUGGCAGUUUUGCAACAUUAUUUCUCCUGAACAAAUAGAUGGAUUACCCAUUUCUUACGUUAGAGUACUCUGCAGCAUGUUAAAUGAGCGUCUGUAAUCUAUGUGAGGUAUCUGAACACUGCUUUGUUCAUGUUGGCCAACUCUACAGUUGUUCGCUUGCUCUGCUUUAAACUAAAUUGUUGGCUCUACUGAAUCAUAUUUAUAUUUAUGCCUCUGAUUGCUCAAGGAUAUAAGCAUCACCCUUCACAAACACAUGGAAAUUGUGUUACUGUAUCCUCUUACACACAUCUGCCAAGUUCUUGCUAGAUCUGAACUUCUAUUAGCUGGCCAUCACUAAGUAUGAAUGUAUGCCCUUAUUAUAGUAGCCUAAUCUGUCUGUUCAUAUACACUCUGGUAAUAGAAUUGCGAGAAAAUAUGGCUGAUUCAAGUCACUUUAGACAGCAUUUCUGGUCAUGUUGGCUUCCUCUUAUCAGACUGGAUGGUGUAGGAAAUAAAAAAUGGAUAAAAUUUUGUGAUCUUAUGAUUCAGAUUGUCAUUCCAUGGCUAUAACAUGGAGCUUGAUAGAUGUUUAGAUAACAUGUCUGAUUCAGAAGUUUCUUUAUGAUUGAUAGAUGUUUUAUUUUGACAAAUUUAAUAAGCAGUGGACGACAAAUGAAUGUUAUUUAUACUGCCACCAUGAUGCUUCAGAUUAAGCAACUGCAUCCCCCCCAAACGAGGCAUCAAGCUAGAGUAUAUGUAUGAUAAUAAAACUAGCAACUUGUCUUAUAUCAAAUCAAGGAAGUAAAUUUGCUACAUGCAAGCACAUAGCAAGUGAACAUUGGCAUGUAAACUAAUUGAGGACAAGCCUCUAAGCAACUUGAAAUUAUACAGUUUGGAAAUUUUCCUAAGAGUUGUGCAGGAUAGUUACAAUAUAAAGGUACCAUAUUUUGGUACUUGCAGUCUUGGUUUCUCAUUGCACACACUUGUUAGAAUUUUGAAGCAGAUCUUUGUUGCCCUGUGACUUAGAUUAUGGUACCAGAAGAUAGUGUAUGAGAGUGGUCUGGUGGUUCUUUGACAAAAGAUGUCUUGGUUCCAAAGCUGGUAAUUCUCCAAAUUAAUUUGAUUAUGAUCAUUCCACGAAAAUACAGAUUGUGCCAAAAAGAUUAAAAAUAAAUUUUCUUCUUUUUUCUUUAUAAAUUUUUCUUUCUAUUUUUAUUAGAAAAAGAAGAUGAAAUAAUUAUAAUGGAUUUAAAAUGAAAAUUUAUUCUUAGAUAAAUCAAUUAUGAAAUUCUUUUGUAGAGUGUCCGAUAUCUCUUUUACAUCUUCUAUGCGAAAAUAUUCAAUUCUCAUAAGAUCUUCUUGACUCUUAUUCAAAAGGUCCAACAAUGUGUGUAUAUUGGACCUUUUGAGACAAUUAUAGGUCCUGGAAGGUAAUUCUGAUUGGUCAAUAAAAAUACAUUUCUGUACAUUCAAUAUACUUUACGAAUAGAGGAAUACAUAGAGUUGAAUAUAGUAAAAUAAGAAAUUGAAAAAUUUUGUUGAAAUUGUUCGUUUGGAAAUUUUCCGAAAAGCUAAUUAUAGGUUCUUUUCUCCAUCGGAACAAUAGGGCCGUUAUGCUUAUUGCUAAACUUGUUGAAGAGAUGAAAUAGAACCAAGGCCUAUCCUUUUGAUCAAAGGUUGAAUCGAUCAUUAGAAGAAGAAUUAGGCCAAAAAUUAGGAUACAUUAUGGGAAAAUGAAACUUCCAUGGAAGAGACCUUGUUGAAUAAUAUUGGGCAACCAGUAACAUCAAGGCAUUUGGUGGAUCUUGGAGCUGUGCAGAACAUAUGGACAAAUUUGUACCGCACCAUCCAUACACAAAGGUAGGACACGCUGUGCGGUAGAAAUCAAUAAAUAAGGAGCAGGACAACGGAUUGCAGUGGCACAAUUUGGAUGUAUGUAAUCUUUUUACAAGAGAAUCCUCUGAGUUCUGUACAAGUUAUCAUGCCUGCUCUAUCAAAAAACCAGCCCAUGCAGGCAGUGAAGCAAAGUCCUAUUUGUGUUAGUCCUCAGAAAACUCAUUCAGAUCUAUGAAGGGGAAAAGAAAUUGUCGAUCAUCAUUUGGACAUUGAUGGUGUCAAUCACACCGGAAUGUGUGCAGAUCAAUCUGUUGCCUUGCCAUGUUUCUGGGCCAACAAUUCUGUAAGCCACUUUGGUGAUGUCAGCUGUAAUGACUUCCCAUCUGAAGCAUCUCUAGCUGAUAGGUAUGGUGCUUCAAACAUCGAAUUGAGGCUUGGUCAGCCAUCUCAGGAAUGCCCUAUUUUUGCAAGUUCAUAUUCAACAUGUGUGAUGGAAUUUGGAGCUACCUGUAACUCAGAGAAGCCACAAUUGCAUCAGGAACUAAAGCAACAAGGUAAAACCGAUCAGCGACAUUCUUUCUUUUUUUUGUUUUUGUUCAUGAUUCAGCAUCAUGCCUAAAUGAUCUGGCCUUUUAACUUGUAGAUGACACCUAUUUUUGCAAAUCUAUACGAGUUUCUGGAUUAUUUUUAUACUUAAAUGGAAGAGAGCAUGAGGAUUCUACACCACUUUAUAGGAAUAAAUGAAGUGCAAGUGAAAAUGUGUGAAGUUGCCAUGAUAUUUAGAUUGCACUGCUGUAUAAUCAUGUAGAGAUUUUCCUUUUAUAGUCAAAAGAUAUGCAGGAACAUCAGUGAAACACUGCAAUUUUAUAUAGAACUGUCAUUUUUAGAAACAAAGUACAAAAUUGUUGUACAUCAUAUACAAUGAAGAGGGUUCAUAUUCAAAUUUGCAAAACAAUUAUUUGAGUUCUUAAUGACCCAAGCUUUUCCAUUGGCAUGCAAGUGUUAUGAGGAUGUUUAAUCAUAUCUUCCAAUGUAAGGUGAAAAUAAGGGUUGCAUAUUAUUUAACAAAACCCUCAAUUUUUCAAGAUGCCCGGAAAGGUUUGGGGACUGUAAGUGUAUUACAUCCCAUGCUCUCUUACACACUUCAACUAUAUUCUUCGAUCUUUCGCAACCCAUCUGGUUUAGCAACUUUCACUGACCUAUUGUGGCAUGCCGUUAGCAGUUGGAAUGUCCCGUGCAUCAAUCACAUAGAGAAUUCUCUAUAUGAUUACCUUCUAUAGGAAAUCUUCACUGAAGAUGUACAUUAUCCUAUUAUCUAUUAAUUUUUGGAGUCUCACUGUGCCUAUGGUGAUUGCAACUUUUUAUGGACUAUGAGUUAGCCAUUGAAAUGUCUUAGCGAUAUCCUUGAUCACUUAAAUGUCUCAGUGUUGUGUUGUCGGAAGUAAUAUAUUCGUUACAAACAAUCAAAGGGAUGGAAGCAUUUGGUAGUACAAAAAUCGGGGAUUCAUGCUUUAGGUCUCUAUGCAUCACAGUUUAUUGCAUGUGGAUCUUUGGUUACUAGCUGCAAACUAAUUUUAACCGCAACCCUCCUACCUCCACCGCAACCCUCGUACUUUCACCACGGUCCUCCGCAGCCCUCUUACGUUCACCGCAGCCCCCCAUCUUCCCACCUCUUCCCUCUUCCCUCUUCCCUCUUUCCCUCUUCCCAGUUCACUGCUGCUAGGAGUUCAUGUUCACUGCUGCAAUAAUUCGCAGCAGCCCCCCAUCUCCCCCCUCUUCCCUCUUCCCCUCUUCCCUGUCGUAUUAGUUUACUGCUGCAUUAAUUUGCAUGAAUUCAUUGGGUCUGUGCAUUUUUUUGUUUGAAAUCAUUAGGAGGUAGAGGUACUGUGCAUGCAUAAGAUACAGCAACAGCAGCUGCCUUCUUUGCUGUAGUGAAUAAGGAUAAUACGGAUUAUUAUUGCUAUUGCUGUAGUAAUUAGUAUUACUUUUUAGUUUUUGGAUUGUCAUUGCAGCUUUAGAACCUUGAAUCAUGGCCACUUCAGAUGAAUCAUCAGUGAGAAACUCAAAAAAAGGAUCCUGCAUGAAAGUAUAGUUAUUUAAAGGAUCCUAACAAUUUAAAAUCUUUUGGUGGAAAUGAAGAAAAAUAUAAGGAUGUCUUUGCAAUCAUUGAUAAAAGAUAAGAAUGUCAACUUUAUCAUCCACUACAUGCGGAAGGACAUCUUUUAAACCUAUAAUUCUUUUAUAAGAACCCUUCAAUUGAAUUUGAUUUAGAAAUUGCAACUAAGUUAUAUUAGUGUAUUGCAAGAUUGGUUCCAGCAUUGAAGUUCAAGACAAGAUCACAAAUGAGAUAUCAUUAUAUAAGAAUGCUGAGGGUAUGUUUGGAAUUCUUAUGGCAAUAUGAUCAGGGGCUACUAAGUCUCUAGAUGUUUGUAAUUUUAUAUAAUUAACAUUAUGUAAGUUUUAAAAAUAUUUAUUAUUAACAGUUGAACUUAAAUUUGCACCUUAGUGGUAAGGUUAUUUGGAAAUAAUAUACCAAACUUACGGCGAUUAGCCAUUAAAAUUUUGAGUUUGACUUAUAGUGUUACAGGUUGUGAGCGAAAUUGGAGCGUUUUCGAGAAUGUAAGUAUCUAAAAAUAUUUUAAUUUUAAUUAAUUAAUUUUUUGAUAUAUUGAUAUAACUAAAUGAAUUCUUAAUUUGUAUUUUAUAUAUGACAGAUUUAUACAAAGAAAAGAAAUCGAUUGGUGCAUCGAUGAUUACAUGACCUUGUGUACAUCAAGUAUAAUCAAACAUUAAAAGCUCAUUGUAAUUCAUGAGAUAAGAUUGAUCUGAUAUCAUCAGAUGAUAUAGAUGAUUCAAAUGAAUGGUUGGUGAGGGAAUUGAGUACAAAUUUGGAAAAUGCUGAAGAUGGUCUUGUUUUUUAUAUGAUAAUUUGACAUAGGGAGAUAUAGUAAGAGCUUCAAGAGUUGGAAAAAUAAAGAGUUACACAAGACAACUCAUGAGAACAAAGAUGAAUGCAAAAACCUCAAUCUCAUCGAUUGCAAUUGUGGAAGAGGAGGAAGAAGGAGAUUAUAAAUCACCUACAGAGGAAGAUGGUAACAAGAUUGAAGAUGAUUUGGAUUUUAAUUAUCUUUUGAUGUUAAUCUUGUUUUAUUUUGUCAUUUUUGCUAUUGGAUAUGGACAAUGUAAUUUGGUACUUUAAAUGACUGCAAGUUUGAUGUGUUACUUCAGUUGUGUUACAUUAGUUUUA
Molecule: long non-coding RNA, 5901 nt
Organism: Musa acuminata AAA Group (dessert banana)
Lineage: Eukaryota; Viridiplantae; Streptophyta; Magnoliopsida; Zingiberales; Musaceae
Exons: 2
Source: RefSeq, a predicted model, not a curated record